GCCGGCAUAGCUCAGCUGGUAGAGCAACGCAUUCGUAAUGCGUAGGUCGGGUGUUCGAGUCACCCUGUCGGCACCA
Molecule: transfer RNA, 76 nt
Filed under: Gammaproteobacteria bacterium
Lineage: Bacteria; Pseudomonadati; Pseudomonadota; Gammaproteobacteria
Also listed under: 1 other name
Description: tRNA-Thr
Rfam family: tRNA
About the family: Transfer RNA (tRNA) molecules are approximately 80 nucleotides in length. Their secondary structure includes four short double-helical elements and three loops (D, anti-codon, and T loops).
Source: RNAcentral